RNAcentral lists this ribosomal RNA (284 nucleotides) under uncultured prokaryote. RNAcentral describes it as "partial 16S ribosomal RNA". It matches the Rfam family "Bacterial small subunit ribosomal RNA", at positions 524 to 805 of the family's 1533-position model. The record is from RNAcentral.
UACGUACUGCGCGAACGUUAUUCGGAAUCACUGGGCUUAAAGGGUGCGUAGGCGGCUUAUCAAGCCCGUGGUGAAAUGUCCCGGCCUAACCGGGGACGUGCUUCGGGGACUGAUAGGCUUGGGCGAUCUAGGGGUCUGUGGAACUCCCGGUGGAGCGGUGAAAUGUGUUGAGAUCGGGAGGAACGCCGGUGGCGAAAGCGACAGACUGGGGAUUGGCCGACGCUGAGGCACGAAAGCUAGGGGAGCGAACGGGAUUAGAUACCCGCGUAGUCCCUGAGCGGGCU